CGCGUAGGUGGUUCAGUAAGAUGGAAGUGAAAUCCCCGGGCUUAACCUGGGAACUGCUUUCAUAACUGCUGGGCUAGAGUACGGUAGAGGGUAGUGGAAUUUCCUGUGUAGCGGUGAAAUGCGUAGAUAUAGGAAGGAACACCAGUGGCGAAGGCGACUACCUGGACUGAUACUGACACUGAGGUGCGAAAGCGUGGGGAGCAAACA
This 207-nucleotide ribosomal RNA is filed under the name uncultured Pseudomonas sp. RNAcentral describes it as "partial 16S ribosomal RNA". It matches the Rfam family "Bacterial small subunit ribosomal RNA", at positions 568 to 774 of the family's 1533-position model. The record is from RNAcentral. Lineage: Bacteria; Pseudomonadati; Pseudomonadota; Gammaproteobacteria; Pseudomonadales; Pseudomonadaceae.